This is a long non-coding RNA of Triticum dicoccoides, 217 nucleotides long. RefSeq lists it as uncharacterized. The transcript is spliced from 4 exons. The record is from RefSeq and is a predicted model, not a curated record. NCBI's taxonomy places the organism in Eukaryota, Viridiplantae, Streptophyta, Magnoliopsida, Poales, Poaceae.
GUGGCACUCCUUUGGCACUGUUGCUGCACUGCUCCAGGAGAUUGUGUCAAUUUACCCUUCACUUUCACCUCCUACUUUGUCGCCAGUUGCAUCAAACCGUGUCUGCAAUGCACUUGCACUUCUUCAGUGUGUUGCUUCACACCCUGAGACCAGGAUCCCGUUCUUGAAUGCUCACAUCCCACUGUACCUGUACCCGUUCCUGAAUACUACCAGCAAG